This 253-nucleotide ribosomal RNA is filed under the name uncultured bacterium. RNAcentral's name for it is "partial 16S ribosomal RNA". It matches the Rfam family "Bacterial small subunit ribosomal RNA", at positions 524 to 776 of the family's 1533-position model. The record is from RNAcentral.
UACGAAGGGGGCUAGCGUUGCUCGGAAUCACUGGGCGUAAAGCGCACGUAGGCGGCUUCUUAAGUCAGGGGUGAAAUCCUGGAGCUCAACUCCAGAACUGCCUUUGAUACUGAGGAGCUUGAGUCCGGGAGAGGUGAGUGGAACUGCGAGUGUAGAGGUGAAAUUCGUAGAUAUUCGCAAGAACACCAGUGGCGAAAGCGGCUCUCUGGAACGGUACUGACGCUGAGACGCGAAAGCGUGGGGAGCGAACAGG